GUUGGGUAUGGUGGUGCACGCCUGUAAUCCCAGCAUUCAGGAGGCUGAGGCAGGAGGAUCGAAAGUUCAAAGUCUGCCUCAGCAAUUUAGCGAGGCCUUAAGCAACUCAGUAAGAUCCUGUCUCAG
RNAcentral lists this small RNA (126 nucleotides) under Marmota monax (woodchuck). Lineage: Eukaryota; Metazoa; Chordata; Mammalia; Rodentia; Sciuridae. The record is from RNAcentral.